GGUGCCCUGGUAUUUUCAGAUUUUUCAAUAACAAGGUUUGGAGAUAUUACUUCAUAGAGAGAUGUCACUCUUCUGUGUUUCAAAGUGUUUCUGAAAAUUAAGCUCUAUGAAAAGAAUCCUGGUGCUCUUGGAGGAAGGGGGCAGUGCCAGGGGCUGGCCCGUAAACAGUUACCCAGCAACUCCAACUUUAGUGUUUCAUGAGUAAACUUAAGCUUGGCAUGUCAAUAAAAUAAGAUUGAUUCUAGCACUAAGAAGCAAAGUGCUAAGGAAGAGAAAUAGUAAUUAGAGGGAAAACAACAACAACAACACAUGAUUCCUGAUCGGGGAAAGGAUCUUCCUUUUCGCAAAAUUCUUUGCAAAAUGUCCCUGAUGGAUGACGAGUAAGUGAAGAAAACAAGUCCUAGACUCAAGUAAAUAAUGGAUUCUAAUGAUGGAGGUAUUUGGUGUUUGCAAAUAAGCAUCAGGAAGUUCUUUAGCUUAAUCCAAGAGUUCUGCAAAGGGCAGCUUCAAGUAUAAAAUUUCAGAAGUGUUUUAUGUAUUAAGUUUCCAAAAUAACAUUUUCGAGGGAAUUAUUGAAUUCAGUGCAAAGACUAAGCUGUCCAGAGGGGGUAGUUGAGCAUUCUAAGCCUCCCAAGACUGGGACUAACCCCCCUAAGCCUGGGAUAUCCAGGAACCUCAAGGAGACCUGGCUGAGCUACUCGCCUGAUCUGGAACAACAUGAGCUCUUUGUCCACCUAAUAUUUUCUCUUUCUAAGAGAGGAUUCUAACUAGGUCACUUUUUUACCGUCUAAUCAGGAGCUUUCCUGCCAAGUGGCCUCAGAAGUUGCUGGCCUCCCUUAUUAUAUACACCACGGUCAGUUUAACCUUGGGCCUCGCCAUGACGGAUGGGUUUCUGUUCUCAUCAGUUAAGUCCAAUAUGGGGACGUUGCUUUCAUUCAGUGCACAAGGCAUGAGCCAGCAGAUUGUUUAUGGAAAGAAUCUAGGAGUGGCUUUCUUGAGAAGGGGCCUCUGGGCAUGGUGGUCUUCUUAAAGCUUUAGGGGGUCUCCUCCAGAACCUCUCUAUAUAGGGGGGGUCCAUCUGAUUAAUUUUAAAAACUGACUAAUGGCUUAUUGAAUAUGCCACGGGCUGUUUUGACAUUCUGCAUUCAUCCCCUAGCUAUAUUUGGCCAAAGCAUACCCUGUGACAGUCUCUUAAUGUCACUUAUGAAAAGUGGCCUGUGGAGCUGGCAUUAAGGUGGCUGGAUUCCUAGGUAGGCGGUUUCAAGGGGACCCCUCUGGACAUUUUGAGGGAGGUCACUGAAGACCCAGAAACAGGUUCUUGAUUCUGUAGGAUCAGAUAUGCCAUCUCAGUUCAUUCAGAGCCGAUCUUUUUCGGAACUGAUUCCCAAUGAUUCCACUCAGCAGAGACGAAGUGCUCUCCACAUGACCAAGUUAUUACUUCAUCUCAGAGAAUUGAACUGGUAGCUGACCAGCCCUGAUCCUGUGCGUCAGAGACUCCCCACCAGGGAAAAGGCAUCCCCAGGAGAUCAAAUUAAAGAUUAGAAGGCUUGGUGAAUAUUGAAUUAGAUCAAAGGGACUUGACUAUUCUUAAGGGAUUUCUCUAGCAGGCUGAGGAGGCCUUAAGGAAUCACAUCCCUUCCCUCUAGAGUUGUUUCAGUCUGAAUAACUGAUUUGGAUUAUUCACCUCAAAGCGUCUUCUUACAUCUUGGUUUCAGUUAACUUACUGUCUGUUUCCCUUCAUGGGACCGUUUCUCUUCCACUGCCAUUAACAGCGUAGUUUGGAGUUAAGAGCAGGGUUGGAAUCCCAGCAGUAACACUCACUGUGUGACAGCGAACAAGCAAACAACUUUCAGCCCCCUCAGACUUCAAAAUCCUCAUAGUUAAAAAUGGGAACCGUCAGAGCCUCCUUGCCAGCUCGUUGGGAGGAUUAAUGAAAUAAGUUUCUGGCACUGCGUCUGCCACAUCAUAGCUGCUCAGUGAAUGGUAGCUAGCAUGAUUAUUUACAUUAUGUAGAGUUAUUUCUUCUUGAUGAGACAUACCAGGACCCAUCACCUACAAACUGACAAAACUGCUCCAAAGGCUUGUUAUUUCUUUAACAUGUUAAUCCUAUGUUUCUGACAUCGUAGUGGUUAAUUUUAUACUGAUUUUUUUUUUUUAUCCUGAAUUUCAGAGACUGACAUUUUAUGACCUCAUCCCUAAUUGUGAGGAGGGUGUAUCCAAUUUGGGACUUGCAGCCAUCCAUGAGCUAUAUGAAAUUUAGUAAUGCCUGUUGGGCUUUCAUAGGUCAAAUAUCUGAGAUCUGAUUCUCUCGUGGAACAAAGCACACUCUAGUAAAGUUUGGCAAACUCCCUACAAUUAAUAAAAAAAAAAGAAAUUAAAAAAGCAUGUCCUUUAGGGAAACCCUUAGAAUUUUCCUCAUUUGGAGUUGUAGCUGGCCUGUUGUGCUGUUUUACAAAGAGAGGGCAAACUCAUUAAUGUUUUUGGAUCCUACAGUGUUGAGAUAUUUCUCAAAAGUUCAAACAGGCUUUGAUUUCUUUAUCCGUUUUGGAAGCCUCAGACUUUUCAGAGCCCUUCAUUAUGGCAAUUGAUGCAUUUUAGACAAGAUUGGAUGUGAUUAUAAGAACUCUGAGGAUAUAAAACAUAACUGCUUUUCUAAAUUUCUGAGCAGUUGUUACCAAAGGAAAGAAUUUGACUUCUGUCCAGAGGAGUAUCUGAUUUGUUUGGACUUUGGAUAAACUCGAGCCAUACAUGUUUGGCCAAGAGUUUAAUUUGUGGACUGAUCCUCAAGCUCUGAGCAAGACCCCGGCUGCAGAAAGCCAUGACACUUCAGGAUCUCAUGUGAUCUUAAACAUGUUUUUGGACAGAAAAAUAGGCCAAAAAAAAAAAAAA
Long non-coding RNA from Mustela erminea (ermine), 2889 nucleotides. RefSeq lists it as uncharacterized. The record is from RefSeq and is a predicted model, not a curated record. Lineage: Eukaryota; Metazoa; Chordata; Mammalia; Carnivora; Mustelidae. The transcript is spliced from 2 exons.